RNAcentral lists this long non-coding RNA (3367 nucleotides) under Gossypium barbadense (sea-island cotton). Its description in RNAcentral is "long non-coding RNA (GBAR_LNC008432)". Lineage: Eukaryota; Viridiplantae; Streptophyta; Magnoliopsida; Malvales; Malvaceae. The record is from RNAcentral.
AUAAAACAAAAGAAAAAAAAAUGUUAUCACUUAUUCACUUAUCUUCUUCCACCGAACUUUCCACCAUUUUUAAGAAAAAUAAAAGCUUCAAUUCCGCAAGGUUCGGCUAAGCCAAUUCCCAUCCAUGGUAAGUUUUUUUAAUGAUUUUUAUGUUUUUAAAGUCGUUUUAGCUUAAUCUAGCUAACCCGGGGGUCAAUUCGUAAAAAUAUUAAAAUUUUAGGGACUUACCAUGAAUGGUUUAAGUGUGUUUGUGAAUUUAAUUGAUAUAUUAUUAAGCUUGGUUGUUAAAUAGACAUAUUUUGUUAAGUAAUUUUUGAUGAUUUUAAGGUUUAGGGACUUAUUUAUGAAAAUUGUAAAAUUCAAGAGAAAAUAUUAUAAAUUUUUGAUAAAUAUGGGCUUUUAUAAGAUUAAUUAAAAAUUGGAUAGCAUGAUUUAUGGUUAAAAAUGGUGAAAUUGAAAGUUUAGGGACUAAAUUGAAUAAAAAGUAAACUUUAAGGAUAAUUUUAUAAAUUUCCAUUAUUAAGGGUUAUAAGCUAAAUUGAUUAUUUUAAAUGCUGAAACGAGAUUAAUUGAAUAAAAAUAUUUAUCUAGAUCAAGAAACAACUUGAAAAGACAUAAAUUGCGAAAAUGUCAAAGUAUAGGAAUAAUGGUCGAUUCUUGUUAGAAGUCAUUUAUGAGUUUAGGUAAGAUCGUAACUUGGUUAAUUCAAUUAAUUACUAUUUCGACAAAUUAUAUUCUAUUUGUGUAUAUAUGUGAAUCAAAUUUGUCAGCUUGAAGGAAACAAAUAAGGCCAUGGUUGAAAGACACUAUAGCAACUCGACGUAAAAAUGUACAAAACCAUGGUUGGACCAUGACAAUGUUUACGUAAGACCAUAGCAAGGCUAUGGCAGCUGUUCAGACAUAAGACCAUGGUUAGGCCAUGUCAGUGUAUAUAUAUAUACAAGACCAUAGCUAGGCUAUGGCAUUCUGAUGAUAAUACCAUAAUCGAGUUUUGACACUAUGAACGUAAGACCAUGGCAAGGCCAUGGCAAUACACAUGUAAGACCAUAGUUGGAUUAUGGCGUUUCAAUCAUUUUUACAAUGUUCAUCGAAUGGAAACAAAUGAGGAUCUAAAUGUGAUGUGUAAAACGGUAAACAAAUCGUAAUAGUAUAUAUGUGUAGAAGAGGUAAAUGUUGUAUUAUCAUAAUAUGUUAAGAAGAUUAUGCAUUAUGAUAGUAAGAAACUUAAAUGUUAUGAAAUGCGAGGAAGUUGAUAAGAAUAAGAAAGGGAUUAAUAUUCACAAUGUGGGAUUUGUGAUAUAUUUUGAUAGAUGAAUGUUUAAACUAGUAUAGUUUGAAAUGAAUAUUAUGCCUUGGUGUGAUUAUAUGUUUCAUUUGUCUAUAAAUAUGUUAACUAAUGAUGUUUGUGGUGUUUAAAGAAUUAAAUGGUUAUAUAAGUAUUUUCCAAGUAUUUGAUGUUAUUUCAUUUGAUUCAACGGAUGAUUUAAGUUUUAAUAAAUGGAUGCGUAUACGAAAGAACUGUGUUAUAGAAACAUGGAAUGGAAAAUGAUGGUAUAUGAAUAUGAAAUGAAAAUGGAACAAAUUGAGUAAAAGAUUGAGGAAUUACGUAUUGAACUUUAUAUGGGUAAGUAUCAUGCUUAAUUGAUUGGAUAUGCUUUUUAAUAGACCUACUAACCUUGUGACGUGUUGUGAAUUGGAAGGAAAAGUAUGCCUAAUUUUAAAUGAACAAUGUUUUAAUGUUUAAUCAUUUAUGUUCAGUAAGUUUAAGUUCCAAAUACAAGCUUACUAAGGUACUAGUUGCUUACGUAGUUGUUUUCUAUGUUUUGUAGGUCAUCAGAAAGCUCAAUCGGCUGGAAUUGUGUCAGAGCACAAUCACACUAUCCCUCAAUCCUUUUGGUAGCCUUUGGUUAAAUUAGUAAUGGUUAUAAAUGGCAUGUAAUAGGUUAAAAGUUAUUCAAGUGAUUUGGCUUGUUUUGAGUGGUGCCAAGCUUGUUGUGGUUAAUGAUGAUAGAUGAUGACAUGUUUUGGAAUGGUUAUUUGGUAUGGUUGGCAUAGGUUUAAAUUAAGACUUUGAGAUGGUGAAUGAGACUAAGUUGGUAUGUGAAAUGUGGUGCAUUUGAAUUGCAUAAUGGCUAGACUUAGGAUGGAUGAAUGUUUAGCAUGUUGUUGGUGUUUUGAAUGUGAUUUUAAGCAUGUCAAAGUAGUUAUAGAUGGUAUGGCUUGAAAGUUAACAAAUGGUGUUUGAAAUGGCUUGUUUUAGAGGUAAAUUAUGCUACACACGGCCUAGGACACUGGCUGUCACACGACCAACCCACACGGCCGUGUGUCUUUUAAAUUUUAAAUGCAAGUUGAACCACAUGGCAUUAUAGAGUUACAAGACUUGGCGACAUAGCCGUGUGAUCCAACUUCGAAUAGGCACACGGGCCAGCACACGAGUUAGCAUAUGGUCUACAACACGGCCGUGUGACUUUAUUUCGAAUGCACACAUGGGCAGACACAUGGGAUGGGACACAACUGUGUGUCCCUACUUCGAAUAUCCACACGAUCUAGGUAGUGUCACAUGGGCUGGCCACACGACCAUGUAACCCCUGUUUCACCACUUUUCAUGUUUUGGCUGAACUUUCUGAUUUGUUUUGAUUUGGUCCCUACAUUUUUUUAGGGUCCCGAAAGCUCGAUUUAAGGCCCAAAUAUAUAUGUUUUCUAUGAUUGAAUUAAAAUAUCGGAGUUUAUGCUUAAGUUGAAUUAUUUGUUUUGUUUUGAAUUCAAAGGUUCUGUUUUAUGUAACAACACUACGUAACCUUAAUCUAGCGACAGAGAUAGGUUUGGAGGGUAACACUUACCCUAAAGAAAUAUGUGUAUACUUCAGAUAGAGAAUAAAUCAGUCAACAAUGAGCUGUGAGAAAAAUAGGGAGACAUAGAUCUUAUCGGUAAAAUCUGUUAAUGGCUAAGAAUGACUAGGGAGUUGAAAUUUCUUUUUAAAAUUUUGUUCCUUAAAGUUUUGAAUUUUUUUAUAUGGACGUUAUGCAGAAUCUUACUAAGUCCUAUUGAACUUAUAAAUGGUUUGCCUAAUUGUAGGAUAAAAUUUUCACCCGAGAAUUGAGUGGAGGGCUGAGCCAAACUUCGUCAAUUUGAGGGAAAAAAGGGAAUGGUAGUCGUAACAUGCAUGUAGAGGGGAACUCCUAAAAGUUACGCCUCGGGGCUUUAGUCAUAGCUACGAAAUUUUAAGGGUUUAACUUCAAAUUUUUAAAUAAGUUGUAAGACAAUGACUUUUGGAAUAUGUGUAUGAUAAUUAGUUUAAUGUGUAAUCUAAAUGCUUGAGAAUGUAGUAAGAUUUGAUUCAGGAAUAUAAUUAAGGUCGUUGUGUUUU